RNAcentral lists this non-coding RNA (986 nucleotides) under Blumeria hordei DH14. Its description in RNAcentral is "Blumeria graminis f. sp. hordei DH14 Bacterial large subunit ribosomal RNA". It matches the Rfam family "Bacterial large subunit ribosomal RNA", at positions 2092 to 2925 of the family's 2925-position model. The record is from Rfam by way of RNAcentral. Lineage: Eukaryota; Fungi; Ascomycota; Leotiomycetes; Helotiales; Erysiphaceae.
UGGGUUGGAUGGGGUAUGGGAUCUAGGUCUUGGGCUAGGGAAGGAGUUGGACUUGUAGGAAGUAGCUAGCGUCUUCUAGGGCGUAGUGAGCCUCUAGGCUUGGCGGCAACAAGGUUGGCCGGGUUGUAGCCUUGGGGGGUUGAGCUCGCAUGUUGGCGUGCUUGCCGGCGUACAAGGUGCAACUGCCUUAUCCCAGAUCAGUCAAUUCCAAUUGCCUUGAAUAUCACGAGUUGCAUAUUAUAUUUAAUAAAAGUUUACUUUUUUUUCCAAGGAUGAUUACAUAGUCUGAGCCAUUUUGUAAAAAAUGGAACCAUGGUGGUAUGGUAAAAAGAAUAAUUCACUUGGAAUUUUUUUUUUCGUAACAGAGUUUGAACAGGUCUAAUUGCGCCAGGAAGUACAAAUUGAGUGCGCAGUUUGGCACCUCGAUGUCGGCUUAACUUAUCCACAUGAACGCAGGAAUCAUGAAGGGUUCGACUGUUCGUACGAUUAAUAAGUUACACGAGCUGGGUUAAAUACGUCGUAAGACAGUAUGGUUUCUAUCUUCUAGAGAAAAUUAGAAUAAAAUAAAGAUAUAUCCCUCGUACGAAAGGAGCUGGAGAUAUUAACCUAUGGUUUACCUGUUGUUUAUGUGCCCAAUAUUAAUUAUAGCCGUAAAAAGAUGCGGCUACAACUCUUCGAAGACCGUACUAGUCCGAUGUUUCGGACGCAGUAAAGGGGCGAACGGGAUGCUACCGUAACACUUUAGUAGAUAUAUAACAUAGGCACGGCAGGAACGCUAUGUUAGUUAAAAUAAGUGCUGAAAGCAUAUAGGCACGAAGUUUACUUUAAGUAUAUUCUUAAAUAUACGUAAGAUAAUACUACGAAAAAUUUUUAGUAGAAAAGUAAUCAUCCUUGGAUAUUAUUAAUCUCAAAAUAGAUAGGCUUUAGCUCUUAGAACUUAAAUGUUUUUAGGUAUAAAGUACUAAAUUUAUAUUUAACUAAAUUAU